Molecule: ribosomal RNA, 253 nt
Filed under: uncultured bacterium
Lineage: Bacteria
Description: partial 16S ribosomal RNA
Rfam family: Bacterial small subunit ribosomal RNA
Source: RNAcentral
UACGGAGGGGGCUAGCGUUGUUCGGAAUUACUGGGCGUAAAGCGCACGUAGGCGGCUUUGCAAGUUAGAGGUGAAAGCCCGGGGCUCAACUCCGGAAUUGCCUUCAAAACUGCAUCGCUAGAAUUGUGGAGAGGUAAGUGGAAUUCCGAGUGUAGAGGUGAAAUUCGUAGAUAUUCGGAAGAACACCAGUGGCGAAGGCGACUUACUGGACACAUAUUGACGCUGAGGUGCGAAAGCGUGGGGAGCAAACCGG